CAUUUGCGCAAAUGUGAGGAUGGCUGUUCAGGCUCUGCACCUGAAGGUGGCGCUGCUGGGCCAAGACUGUGUAGUCAUCGUCACUGGGUUUUGACAAGUUGUCUCCAAUGUCCCCUACUAAAUGUUUUGCAGGAUAAAGUGUUGUUUAGUUGUUUGGUGUGCACUUCUGCUCUGGGAAAAGCAUGUGAGGUUUGACUGAUAACAAGGGUGACCCUCGCAUGGUGGGUUAUUAGGAUGGCCCGGUAACUCAUUUCCCAGACCCAACACUUGAGGAAUAGAGGGUGUUCUAGCCAGGCCAUUCCGGGUAAACCAGAAGAGACCAGGAAUUUGCCAUUGCCUGGGCUUGGUCCUGUCCUCCCUAACGAGUUACUUACAAACCACAGAAUGGGUGUUAGAGUUGCUGCCCCGCACUGUGCGUGCUUUCCUGUUCUUGAAUACCUGUUCUGUCUCUAGAUUAAAGUCACCGUUGCAGGCUUGGCUGGGAAGGACCCCGUGCAGUGUAGCCGUGAUGUAGUGAUUUGUCCGGAUACCAGUCUGGAAGAAGCAAAAACACAGGGACCAUACGAUGUGGUUGUUCUUCCAGGAGGAAAUCUGGGUGCACAGAACUUAUCUGAGGUAAAAACUGCACUGUCACAAAA
Molecule: long non-coding RNA, 638 nt
Filed under: Rattus norvegicus (Norway rat)
Lineage: Eukaryota; Metazoa; Chordata; Mammalia; Rodentia; Muridae
Description: long non-coding RNA NONRATT023888
Source: RNAcentral